RNAcentral lists this long non-coding RNA (213 nucleotides) under Elaeis guineensis (African oil palm). RNAcentral describes it as "long non-coding RNA (EGUI_LNC020036)". The record is from RNAcentral. Lineage: Eukaryota; Viridiplantae; Streptophyta; Magnoliopsida; Arecales; Arecaceae.
UGCUAUGCUCCCCUUUUGUAGGUGGCCUCUUCCUCAUCCCUUAUUUUUUUUCUUCAAAAAUCUUUUAAACUUUCUAGUGAUGAGGGCUAUUUCUUCAUCUUGCUCUUCAUUUUUUAUUUCAUCAGAUUUCUCAUCGAAUUGAGCAGUAGAUUUGAGGAUGAUUGUCCUCUUCUUCUUGACAUCUUCUUCUUGAUAUUGUUUCAUACUCAGCUC